CAAUGGGCGCAAGCCUGAUGCAGCGACGCCGCGUGAGGGAUGACGGCCUUCGGGUUGUAAACCUCUUUCAGCAGGGAAGAAGCGAAAGUGACGGUACCUGCAGAAGAAGCACCGGCUAACUACGUGCCAGCAGCCGCGGUAAUACGUAGGGCGCAAGCGUUAUCCGGAAUUAUUGGGCGUAAAGAGCUCGUAGGCGGUUUGUCGCGUCUGCUGUGAAAGUCCGGGGCUCAACUCCGGAUCUGCAGUGUGUACGGGCAGACUAGAGUGAGGUAGGGGAGACUGGAAUUCCUGGUGUAGCGGUGAAAUGCGCAGAUAUCAGGAGGAACACCGAUGGCGAAGGCAGGUCUCUGGGCCUUAACUGACGCUGAGGAACCAAAGCUUGGGGA
RNAcentral lists this ribosomal RNA (386 nucleotides) under uncultured bacterium. RNAcentral's name for it is "bacterial SSU rRNA". It matches the Rfam family "Bacterial small subunit ribosomal RNA", at positions 369 to 767 of the family's 1533-position model. The record is from RNAcentral.